This 460-nucleotide ribosomal RNA is filed under the name uncultured bacterium. RNAcentral describes it as "partial 16S ribosomal RNA". It matches the Rfam family "Bacterial small subunit ribosomal RNA", at positions 338 to 795 of the family's 1533-position model. The record is from RNAcentral.
CCUACGGGAGGCAGCAGUGAGGAAUAUUGGUCAAUGGGCGAAAGCCUGAACCAGCCAAGUAGCGUGAAGGAUGACUGCCCUAGGGGUUGUAAACUUCUUUUAUAUGGGAAUAAGACAGGUUAUGUAUACAGUCUUGUAUGUACCGUAUCAAUAAGGAUAGGCUAACUCCGUGCCAUCAGCCGCGGUAAUACGGAGGAUCCGAGCGUUGUCCGGAUUUAUUGGGUUUAGAGGGAGCGUAGGAGGAUUGUUAAGUCAGUUGUGAAAUCUUGCGGCUCAACGGGACAAUUGCAGGUGAUACUGGCAGACUUGAGUACAGUAGAGGAGAGCGGAAUUCGAGGUGUAGCAGUGAAAUGCGUAGAUAUCACGAAGAACACCGGUGGCGAAGGCAGCUCUCUGGACUGCAACUGACGCUGAGGCUCGAAAGUGUGGGUAGCAAACAGGAUUAGAUACCCUUGUAGUC